GUUGAUUGAGGAUGUAAAGCUUAGGUCUUAAGAUAAGACUGAGUAAGAUUGGUUUCACAUUGUGCAUUUAGGCGGCCAUUUCAAGAGCGAAGAAAUGAGUCAUCGUCUGACAUUGUGAUCAUUACAGUAAAAUCACGGACAGGUUCAAUGUAAAAUAUGAAAAUGACAGACUCUCGACUAAACUUGAAAGAGUUCGUCUGCUUACGUUUUGCAGGGUGACAUUUCACUGUCUUCAGCUCACCAAUUAGAGGUUACAUGCCUCUGAAGCACUGCAACUAUAAAAGAAACAACACCAAGGUAACCUGGAAAAACAUGACGACAGAGUCGGGGAUAAUGCACAUUUCAUGCAGCUCUGGUGACAAUCCGCCAUGGAUAAUUAUUGAUAAUAAGAUGUACGACAUCAGUGGCUACGUGUCCCAGCAUCCAGGAGGUGACAUCAUAUUGAAGCAUGCUGGGAAGGAUGCCACACUCGCCUUCCAGCACCAGCCAGCUCACAGGGUUGUGAAGGGACUGAUUGCAGAAAAACUGAAGACAAUGUAUGUCAAAGAUGUCAGCAAUCCAAGCAGCUGAUCACAAUUUUCUCAGCUUAAAUUGCACAGAACUUUAAAUUAGGCAGCAGAGAUGUCAAAUGUACAGACAUGAUCAUGCACCAAUGGACACUUUGAGGAAAAUAUUGAAUCAUGAUAGAAAUAGAGGUGGACCGUAACAGGUACUAUUAAAAGUUUGAGGGGAUUUACUAGGUUUCAGCAAAAAUAAAUGGACUCUAUGGGAGAUACAGUGUCAAUAAGACAUUUUUUCAUAAGUUAACUUCUGUGAUAGUUGUAAGACAAUGCCUGAUUUUGUGAGUUCAAUCCACCAGCCUCUGAUAAUUAUAUCAAGAGACAAAACAACAGUAUGUGUCUAACUGCAACAAAACAUUUAUUCUCAGAUUCUGGGCUUAUGUAUACAAAUAAGUACUAUGAAAUGAUGUUACGUGAUUAUGUCAGGUCACAU
This 993-nucleotide long non-coding RNA is filed under the name Lingula anatina. Its description in RNAcentral is "uncharacterized LOC106156334". Lineage: Eukaryota; Metazoa; Brachiopoda; Lingulata; Lingulida; Lingulidae. The record is from RNAcentral.